GAAACAUCUUUUCUCUGAGAGUAAUCAAGAUUCAAGUUCUUCUACCAGUGAACAAUCUUGGAGCAGUAACCACAAAAGGAAAUCCCUAAAGCCAUAUUCCAGUAGGAGUAAGACUAGAGUCAGAAGCAGUUUAAGAGGUACCUUUGCUUGCCAUCUUUUGGGUCACUUCUCAGAUCAAUCGGCAGAUAUUAUUUUUUUCAGUGUGGGGGAUGGUAACAAAUAUGAUUACGGGCCUCUCUUUCCCAUUUUACAAUCACACCAGAAAGGAAAAAUAUAUGUACAUGAAACAAAGAAUAUGGAGUUAACUAGAAGUUAUUAAAAGUCAGGAGUUGAGCUGGGGGGACCUCAUAAGAGCUAGAGCCACUUUUAAGUACGAGGUGGGAAGGACUUGAGCUAAGCCUUGGGAAAGGAGUGGGGUGUGAAGGGCUGAGAAGGGGAAGCUUUCUAGGUUUAAAAAAAAAAAAAAACCACCAAAAUGCACCCAGGAAGUGAGGGUGAUGUUCAGGGACGGUGUUUGGAGCAGGAGUUCACACAAGGUGGUGAGGAACAAGGGGGAAUCAUUGCAGAAGUAUUUAAGAGCAGACACACGAGCAGGUGCUCAGAGUAGGAAUAGCUCUAGCAGUGGCCUGUGUCAUUAGAGGGAGAAAUGGACCUCUGUGUGUCUCAUAACUAAAUGUACCCACUGUAUGCUUAUUUUCUUUUGUUCUUUAGUCUUGCCACAUUUCCUUUUCAGUAGUGGCAGUGACCAUGAGAAAGAUCAAGUAAGUAAAUUGUGUUGGACUGCCCUGGGCCCUAAUGGGUUACACGACAUUUUUUUUUUCUCAAAAUACUUCAGCAAUAUGAGAAUAAUGAACCAGAAGUUUGCUGUUAUAUCCACUUCUGCCAAUAGAAACUGCAAGAAUCGUGGUGGUGCACACCUGUAAUCCCAGCUACUGAGAAGGCUGAGACGGGAGGAUUGCAAAGUUGAGGCCAGUUGGGCCAACUUAGCAAGACCCUGAAUAAAAAGAAGGGCUGGGCAUGUCACUUAGUGGUGGAGUGCAUCUGGGUUCAGUACUGAGUACUGCAAAAAAAAAAAAACCUAUAAGGGCUUCCAAACAUUUAGUAUGAAUCAUAGGUAAAGUUUAGGAUCUUUUUUUCCCAUUAUUUACAAAUAUUGUUAAAUAUUAUAUAGGAUACCCAAAACCUUGGCUAUUCUGAAUUCCCCUAGAUAUUUGCUCUUUUGAAUUUGUUUUGAAGUAAAUUGGUUUAAUUCCUCCUAUAGUUUUCAGUUUCUUAUAUUGCUUCUAAAGCUUUAUAAAGCAUAUAAAUCUUCAUUUUGCAAGUGGUUCACGUGCCUUCAGGCUUAUGUAAAUAUUGAACAAACGCUUGGGGUUUUAAAAUUUCACUUAUCCUCGUUUUGUACCAAGGAGUUAAAAGUAUGGAUGCCAGUGUCCUCUGGACCAAUUCAAAGCCACAUUUUGCCUCAUGUCAGCCAAGUUAUUCCUUUGCUUAGUGGUUGGUUUUUGUCUGUCAUGUGAGGGGUGUAUAGACUACAGAGUCUGUGACCACGGACAUAGGGUUUUAUGAGGAGCCACUGCUGUGAUUGAGGCCUCCAUGGCACCCUGCCUGCUGGUACAGAAACUCAAUAAACUGCAAGUGCUCUGGUCGCAGCUCCAGCUGCGUGCUGCAUUAAGUACAUGUUGAUUCUCAAGUCAUUCAGGAUAGAGAGUAAACUUUUGACCCAGAGUAGGUACAGUUUUCCCUUGGGAUCCAUGAGGGAUGGGUUCCAGAACUCUUUGGUGACCAAAAUCUAUGGAUGCUCAAGUUCCUCAUAAAAUGGCAUAGUAUUUACUUAUCUAGGCAUAUCCUUCUAUAUACUCUAAAUCAUAUUUAGGUUCCUCAUAGUACCUAAUGCAUUGUAAAUGCUAUGCAAAUAGUCACUAUACUAUCUAGUUCAGAGAAUGGUGACUAGGGGGAAAGUUGAUGUAUACAUUGAGUAAAUGCAGUGUUUUCUUCAGUAUUUUUGAUGGGCCGUUGGUUGAAUUUGUGGAUGUGGGACCCAUAGAUAUGGAGGGCUGAUUGUAGUUGGUUAUUUGUUGACUCAUUCAACCCAAAAUAAUGAAAUGGCCCAAAAGAAUAGAUUAUCUAGUAAAUAUGGCUUUGGUUUUAAAUAAGCACCAAAGAAACAUCACAGAUUUAAGAAUUCUUAAAUACAAGCUAUGCAACUGGUAAAGUCUAGGCUGAUGUUCAGUGAGGGUCUUGUGGACUUUCCACUUAAAAUAUAUUUUCCUGUGCUGCAGUAUAAGAAUAAUUAUCUUAGUGGUUGGUUUUUGUCUGUCAUAUGAGGUAUGUAUAGACCGCAUAGUUGUCAAACUUUUCUGUAAAGGGCCAGAUAGUAAAUAUUUGGACAUUUGUGAGUCAUACAGUCUCUAGCAAUAACCCAACUCUGUCUUUGUAGCCAGAAUGGUUCCAUAGAUGAUAGGGAAAUUAACAGCAUAGUGUGUUCUAAUAAAACUUUAUUUAGAAGAAUAGACCGUGGGUUGUACUUUGCCAAACCCUGAUUCAGAACAGUGGUUCUCAAAUUUGAGUGGCUAUCAGAAAAACUAGGAUGACUUAAGACAGAUUUCUCAGUCCUAUCCCCAGCAUUUCUUAUUGAGUAAGUCAUAGGUGGCAUUUGAGUAUUUGCAUUUCUUUCAAGUUCCUGUGUGUUGAUGAUGCUCUUGAUCUGGACCACACUCUGAAAAGCAUCGAUUUAGAGUUUAUCAGUUGAAAUAUGACCUAACUGUUCUUAUAAUUCUGAAAUUUCCUGGUCUUUGUGUUUACUUUUGAAUGCAGUAAAUCCAAUACCUAACUUCUUAAAAGGAUAUUGAAAAUGUCUUGGGAUUUUUUUUGGAUAAAGUUUUCAGUGGUUAUGAAUGCUCAUACUUAACAAAGGUGUCAUUAUGUUAGGCUAAACUUCUGUCACCAGUACGGGAAGACAUUGAUAGGCAAAAUGCCACACUUCCAAAAAUUUCUGAAACUGAACCCCAGCGUAGCCCUUCCUUUUUAACUCCUGAAGAUUCUACACAGAAAAUAGGUAAGUGAUUUUUUGUUGUUGGUUUGUAUAGAUAAAAAGUUGUAUUUGGAGACUGGUGGUUUGAAGCAAACCAUUUUUUAAAAAGCCAUGAAGGAAAGUGUUAGUUUGUGAUGGCCUUUCCCUUUAAUGUCUCCAUUGGCAAAGGAUGGGAGAUAUUUUGUUUAUAUUUUGCUUUGACAUUUGAAAUCAGAUUACUCAUAAGAAUUGCCAGGUCUCCCUUUAAACAUUCAGGAAAACUCAAGUGAUGACCUAGAGCAGGAAUUGAUAAACUUUUCCCAUAAAGUACACUGAUAGCAAAUAUUUUUGCUUCUUGAAUGCAUAUGGUUUCUGUUGCAGCUAUUUAACUCCACAGUUGUAGCACAAAAUCAGGUGCAGACAAGAUUUAAACCAGUAAGCAGGCUUCUACCAAAUGUUAUUUACAAAAUCGGAUGCAAAUUGGAUUUGGCCUGGGGGUCCGUUCCGGUUUUGCCAAGCUUUGUUUUGUAAGCAUUACCUUAACCCUCCCUGUAUCUUAUUGGAAUUGUUUGCAUCUUUUUAAGUUCAUAAGCUUAGGGAUUUUUCUUUUGUUCACCUUUAUCAUUCUACAGUUUAGCUGCUGCCAGGCACACACUGGCACCUAGGAAACACUGGGCCUCUUAGCCUGGCUGCCACUCAUAGAAGUGUAAGGAAAUGGAAAGGGGAGAGAUGAAGAUGCAGCAUAAAGAGAGAGAGGCAGUGAGGCAGAAAGUUUUGGGAAAAGGAACAAACUACAAAACAGAAAACAAUUAACAAAAGGCCACAGUAAGUCCUUACCUAUUAACAAUUACUUUAUUGUAAAUGGAAUAAAUCCUCCAAUCAAAAGAAAGAGUGGCUGUUAGCUUAAAGAAACAAGAUCCAAUGACAUGCAAGAAACUUACAUUAGUCUUAAGGAAAAAGACUUAAAAUGAAGAGAUGAACAAAGAUACACUCCAUGUAAAUGGUAACCAAAAGAGAGCAGAGGUGGCUAUACUUAAUAUAUAUUUUCUGUCAAAAAUCUGUCAUCGAUCAGAAAGAUUAAUAUAUUAUGUUAUAGGGGUCAAUUCAAGAAAAGGAUAUAAUUAUUGUGAAUAUAUAGGCACCCAGCAUUGGAGCACCUAAAUAUGUAGAGCAAAUAUUAACAAAAUGGAAGGAAAAACCAACAGCAAUACCAUAGUAGUAGGGGACUUCAGAAACCCAUUUUCAACAAUGGGCAAAUCAUCCAGAAAGAAAAUCAAUAUGGAAAUGGUGGACUUUGAUGAUACUGUGGAACAAGGGACCCAACAGACAUACAAACGUUCCAUACAACACAGUAUACAUUCUCAACAGUGUACACUGGACAUUGUCCUGGAUAUAUGUAAUGUAUGGCCACAAAACAAGUCUUAACAAGUUUAAGAGGAUUGAAAUCAUGUCCAGUAUCUUUUCUGACUACAGUAGCACAAAAUUGAAGCGUUAACAGGGGAAUUCUUGGAAAAUUUACAAGUGUGUGGACAGUAACAGCAUACUUCUGAAUGAUCAGUGGGUCAGAGAAAAUCAAGAGUCUCUUAAGACAAAAGGAAAUGGAAACAGACUACACCAGACCCUAUGGGAUGCAGCAAAAGCAGCAUUUAGAGGGAAGUUUGUAAUGAUAAAAGCCUACAUUAAGGACUGGGGUUAUGGCUCAGGGGUAGAGCACUCGCCUAGCACAUGUGAGGUCCUGGGUUCAAUCCUCAGCACCACAUAUAAAUAAAUGAAGGCACUGUGUCCAUCUCCAACUAAAAAUGUAGACUUUUUUUUAAAAAAGUCUACAUUAGGAAAAAAGAUGUCAAAUGAACCAACUAACUCUACACUGCAAGGCACUAAAAAUAGAAUAAACUAAGCCCAAAGUCAUGAGAAGGAGGAAAAUAUUUGAGGGCAGAAAUAAGAGAAAUAGACCCUAAGAUAAUUUAAAAGAGCUACAAAACAAAUUAGUUCUGUGAUGCUUGCCUGUAAUCCAAGUGGCUCAUGAGGCUGAGGCAGGAGGAUCACAGGUUCAAAGCCAAUCACAGCAAAAACGAGGUGCUAAGCAACUUGGUGAGACCCUGUCUCUAAAGAAAAUACAAAAUGGGGAUGUGGUUCAGUAGUCAAGUGGUCAAGUGCCCCCGAUUUCAAUCCCUGGUACCAAAAAGGAAAAAAAAAAAAGUUUUGUGAAAAGAUAAAAGUAACAAACUUUAUCCUAUCUAAGAAAAAAGGGGGCUCAAAAUAUAGAAUCAGAGAACAUUACAACUGAUACUACAGAAAUACAAAGGAUCAUAAGAUGCUGUAGAAAAUUAUAUGCCAACAAAUUGGAUCACCUAAAAGGAAUGAAUAAAUUUCUAGACACAUAAACCUAUCAAGACUGAAUCAUGAAGUAGAAAAUUUGAAUAGAUUCAAAGUAAUGAGACAGAAUCAGUAAUCAAAAAUUUCCCUUCAAAGCAAAGCCCAAGACAUGAUGGAUAUAUGAUUGAAUUCUACCAAGCAUUUUAAAAGGAAUUAGCUGGUCUUCCUGAAACUGUUCUAAAAACUUGGAGAGGAGGGAACAUUACCAAGUGUACUUUAUGAAACCAGCAUUACUCUGAUACCAAAGCUAUAUAAGGACACUACAAGAGAAGAAUUAUAUUACAGGCCAAUGUUCCUGAUGGACAGGUAUUCAGAAAUCUCUAUCAAUAUAUAAGUCAAUGGAUUAAAACAGUACAUUGAAAACACUAUGAUCAAGUGGGAUUUAUCCCUGGGAUGUCAGGAUAGUUCAACAUAUGGAAACUAAUAAAUGGAAAAAAACCACCUUAACAGAAUGAAGGAUAAAAUCCUAUGAUCAUUUCAAUAGAUGCAGAAAAAGUAUUUGAAAAAAAACCCAAUAAAAAUUAGAUGUGUAAGGAAUCACCUCAACAUUUUUAAGUCAAUAUGUGAGAAGCCCACAGUUAAUAUUAUAUUCAGUGGUGAAAACCUGAAAAUUUUAAGAUCAAAGCAAGCAUGCCUACUCUCACCACUUCUACUCAAUAGAGUUCUGCAAAUCCUAGUCAGAGAAAUUGGACAAGAUGGGAAAAAUUAACUUGUCACUGUUACAAAAAAAUUCUUAUAUAGAGAGAACCGCCAAACUACUUCCACCAGAAAUCUCAGAACUGCUAAACUGCUUCCCCUAGAAGUAAAAUUAUGGGAUAAUAAGAUCAAUAUAUAAAAAUCCCUUGUGGUUUUUCCCCCUGGUUAUUCCUGAUUCAAAUUGGCUGAAGAAAAGGCACUUAUCACUCACAACAUUUUCCACAAAGAUGAACUAAAGUAAUAGAUAUAUGGCUGCAUUUUUGAGUGAGCAUUGAGGAGAGACAUUUAAAAGCAGCCAAAGACUGAAGCCUGAAAGAUUUAGAGACUUAAGAAUAACAGUGUAGUGAGGAAAACAAAAUACCCUGGUAUAUAUGGUUCUGCAGACAGGAGUCCUGCUUACAUGGUGUAAGAGUGGAAAAAGUCCACUGGGUACAGUGGCACACACCUGUAAUCCCAGAGGCUUGGGAGGCUGAGGCUGAAGGAUCAUGAGUUCAAAGCCAGCCUUAGUAAAAGAGAGGUUCUUAGCAACUCAGUGAGCUCCUGUCUCUAAAUACAAUGCAAAAUAGGGCUGGGGAUGUGGCUUAGUGGUUGAACGCCCCUAAGUUCAAUCCCCGGUAACACCUCCCACCACCCCCCCAAAAAAUACUAGAAAAUUCAACCAGUAUGGAUGCUGACAAUCCUAAAUACUGAAAAGUUUCAAUCCUCGUGUGCUUGCAGCUCACUUAGAUAAGUAAUCUAAAAUCUGCACAGUAGCCUUGCUUUGGAAAAGGAUCUCUCGAUAUCUCCCCGUGAAACCCCCAGAGUGCUGUAGCUAGGGGGGGUGAGCAGUGAUCUGUCAUCUGUCUGGGCUGCUCUAGGUGUUGGGACCCCCUGCGUAUUCCCACCUCCAGGACUCCACAGACACUCCACCACACUCACUUGUGGGUCACUGUCUCAUGACCCCUACACGGUACAGCAGAACAACUGUGACUGAAGUCCACUGGGUGCCCUGCAAGAGAAAAGUGUUGGGACAAGGAGGAGAAUGGAGGACACUGCCCUCAAGAACCAAGAGGGUGGAGCCCUUGCCCUCUGAGACUAAAGGUGUGGUCAGCUGCACAGGGAUUCCUGCUAAAUGCCAGGACUACAGGCGAGCGCUCCCCCACCAUACUGCAUUCAGAUGCCCAUUACUGGCAGGUUGGGGAGGGAACUACUAGUUCCAUCAUCCAACAUCCCUUCAUAAUGAAAGCUCUCAACAAGUGAGAUAUGGAAAGAUCCUGCCUCUACUACUGAAAGCUAUGUAUGCAAAACUGUCGCCAAUGUCAUAUCCAUGAGGGAAAGCUAAGAUCAUGGACAGUACAAGUAUGUCUUUUCAUUGCUGUUAUUCACAUAGCAGAGCUUUUAGAAAGAAAAGGCAUCCAAUAUGAGGAAAUGAAAUUAUCUCGGUAGGUAUUAUUCUCUAUGUAGAAAUUCAAAUAUUCCACCGAGAGACUAUUAGAAUUGAUAAACUCAGUAAAGUAGCAGGAUGCAGUGUCAACAUAAAAUAUCUGUUUUCUAUAUACCAAUAACAAAGUUUGCUGAAAAAGAAAUCAUGAAGGCAAUUCUUCAUACUAGCUACAAAUAAAUAAAAUAUCCCAGGAAUUAACCAAAGAAACAAUAUAUCUCUACAGGAAUAACCAGACAGAUGAGAGAGUUUGUAAAUAGAAGAUGUAAAGACUUCCCACGUUCAUGGUUGAAGAAUUGAUUGCACUGGACAGUGUGACCAUUUAAGCUAUCUAUAGAUUCCAUGCAUUUUCUAUCAAAAUACCCAUAAAAUUCUUCACAGAACUAGAAAAAAUGGUAACAUUCAUAUGGAAGCACAAACUACACUAAAUAGCCAAAGGAACCUUUUUAAAAUAGCAAAUGAUUUAUAUUCCUGGGUGAAGAAACUUAUUCUAUUUAUGAUAUCCAUACCCACGAAUGAUUCAAUUUAGUAAGGACUUUGUAGAAAGUACAAUGAUAAUGUAUGAGAGGUUUGAGUUACAGUGUAAGUGUAUUAUUUGUUGAAUUCUAAAAUACUCCAAAGGUGUUUUGAUACGAACCUGUUUGGGAUUAGCGGUGUACUUUCUGGCUAAAUAUCACAAGGGAGGAUUACACAUUUCUCCUCUAGUGACUUGUAAAUACGACUGGUCUCCUUCAGUCUCCCCAGUUAGCCUUGUCACAUGACCAUGUCUUCUGUUUAGUCUUUAUAAAUCCAAAAGGUUCUAGUUCAGAAACAGCUCUCAUAAACCAGCCUGGAUAAUUCCAUCCAUCUCUUCUGCGGUUGUAGAAUUUGCAUUCAUCUUUUCAGCAGCUGUCACGGGGUUAACUAGCCUGCUACGCUGCAGGAGCAGUUGAUAAGUGAUGCAGAUGUCAGGGGCAGUGUUUGGAAUUCAGUCUUCUUCCCUCUUCAGUGUUUUGUUCUUUAAAUAACAAUAAGGGUUGCUGAGUGCCGAGUGGAAGGUGUGGUACUGGAGCAGCAGUUAAAUGCUCAGGUGGAGAGCACUGAAGUACACCUCCUCAUGUCUUAGGAGGCAGAAGGUAUUCACUCACUAGACAAAAAUGAGGUUCACAACUUUUUCUUUGAGCGCAUCAAACCUGAUUUGCUUCUUUCUUAUUGUUAACUCCUUCGUUUCCAGGAAAAAUAGAUUCCAUGUGUUUUCUUGUGAAGAAACUGUAUGCUACAUUUGUCACUAAUUUGGUUUUAUGGUAUGAAAAAUCUUCUUCAUUUUGAGACUUGAGAUCCUAAAGUUAGAACUAUCUUCUGAAGGUGAGAGAGAUCCGUCUCCUGAAGCCCCUUUGGCUGUGAUCCAGAAGCAGCUGCUUUGGCAUCAAGGUUCUGAAACUGGGCCAUGAACUUCCCUGUUCUCUUCGAUUUCUGAAGCCUGGUCAUCAGUUCAUCCUUUGCCAGUGUCUCUCUUGGAGGAUGAAAGUCUGAGAUCAGACAGCUCCGCUGGUUUGGACUCCUUGGCUGCAUUGUGGCAGAUGGCAUCAUGGUAGUAGUGGAUGUAACCAAAGCAAUCUUGAGCAAAAGAGCCAAGCGGAUGACAUCAAAUACCUCAUUUCAAGACACAGUACCAAGCAAGGCAAUCAAAAAAUGACAUUGGCAUAAAAAUAGACACAAUGGAAAACAGAGACCCCAGAAGUAAAUCUAUGCAUCUAUAGCCAACUGAUUCUUGAUAAAGGUACCUGUCGUGGACUGGGUGAAGGAAUGUCUUCCCAAAAGUUCACGUUUUGAAAGUCCGAUUUUAGUGCAGUGGGGUUCAGAGGCGGGGCUUUUAGGCAAUGAGAGCUGAAACCUCAUAAGUGGAUUAUUUCAUUUGAGGGGGUAACAAUUUGAGUGGAGGCAGGUGGGGCGUUGUUGAAGGAAGUAGGUCAUGGGAAGGGCGUGCCCUUGGGGUCUACAUCUUUUUUUUUUUUAAUUAUUCUAUCAUGUAGCUGAAUAAUUAUUAUUUUAUGAAGGUUUAUUGGUGCAUAUUAUUUAUACAGAAUAGUGAGUUUACUGUGGCCCAUUCAUACAUACAUAUAAUAUGGUUAAAUCAAUUUCACUUUCCAGUACGUCCUCUUGCCCUUACCUUCUCUUUCCCACAUGCUCCCCUACCUCUAUUCUAGUGGUUUCCCUUCUACUUUCAUGAGACCCAUUUUUUUUCUUUUUUUUCCCUCUAACUUUCACAAAUGAGAGAAAACAUCAUGACACUUGUUUUUUUCUGAAUCUGUAUUAUUCAGCUUAACUCGAUACUUUCCCGUUCCAUCCAUUUUCCUGCAAAUGCUAUUAUUUAAUUUUUCUUUAUGGAUGAAUAAAACUCCAUUGUGUAUAUAUAUAUCAUUUUUUUUUUAGAUUUUUCAUCUGUUGAUGGACACCUAGGGACAGGCAAUAAUUUUCUGGCUAGACCCCGGAAACCAAAGCAAAAAUUGAUAAAUAGGAUUACUUCAAACUAAAAUGCUUCUGCACAGAAAAGUUAACAUAGGAGACAACCCCACAGGGUGGAAGAAAAUGUUUUCUAGUUAUUCCUUUGACAGAGGGUUUUGUUCAGGACAUAUAAAGAACUCAAAAACAUAAAAAUAAUUUAGUUUAAAAAUGGUCAAAGAAUAUGAAAAGACACUUAUCCAAGGAAGAAAUACAAUUGGACAACAAAUAUGUGGGAAAAAUGUCCAUCAUUAGCCAUCAAGGAAAUGCAAAUCAAAAUGAGGUACCGUCUUUCCCCAGUUAGAAUGCUUGUGUAUUUAUAUGUACAUAAAUAACAAAUGUGUAUAUACACCAAUGUUUAUAUACAAAAUUACAGUGAGGAGGUGUAGAAGUAACUUGUAUGUGCUUAUGUGGUGAUGGGAAUGUAACUAGGUACAGCCACUGUGGAGAAGCAGUAUGAGGAUUCCUCCAAAAAUUAAAAAUUAGAUCUACUAUAUGAUCCAGCUAUGCCACUCCUGGGAAUAUAUCCAAAGGAAAUGAAAUCAACUUACCAAAGAGGCACCUGCAUGCCCAUGUUUGUUGUGACAUUGUUCAUAGUAAUUAAGAAAUUAGCCCAAGUGUUCCUCAACAGAUAAAUAGUGGUAUGUAUACACCACGGUAUUUACUCAUGCAGAAAAAUGAAAUCCUGUCCUUUGGAGCAAAACGGAUAGAACUGGAGGAACUUAUGUUCAAUGAAAUGAGCCAGAUGUCAAUAGUACUAUAGGUUCUCAUGUGGGGAAGUUAAAAAUGUCAAUCUGCAAGUAGAAUAGUGACUACUAGGGAUUGGCAAGAGUUCAUAUCCGGGAGGUGGGGGGGAGGUAGGAAAAGAAUAUUUCAAUUUGAUCAGGGCAUGCUGUACCCAUGUAUGAAAAUACACUGAGCCCUGUUAUUAUAUAAUUAUGCUAAUCAACUGUAGUCUGUUCUAUGUUAUAGUAACAAAUUAUCUGGAAAAGGAAUCAAGAAACUUAUCCCAUUUUAGUAGCAUCAAAAUAAAUAAAACAGUAAUGAAUAUAAGCAAGUAGAUGAAAGAUCUGUAUACAGAAGUCUAUAAGACAUUGAUAAAUGAACACAAAUGGAAAGAUCUCUCAUGUUCAUGGAUUGGAAGAACUAAUUAUUUUAAACACUUUUAGUUGUAGAUGGACAUAAUACUUUUAACUUAUUUGUAUGUGGUGCUGAGGAUUGAACACAGUGCCUCACAUGUGCAAGGCAAGUGCUCCACCACUGAGCUACAACCCCAGCCCUUGGAAGAAUUAAUACUAAAAUGUCUAUACCGUCCACAAUCUAUGGAGUUCAAGUAAUUCUUAUCAAAACUCCAAUGGCAUUUUUUUAACCAAAAAAUAAAAAUCUCAAAAUUUGUAUGCAGUAGCAAAAGACUCCAAACUGCUAAAGCAAUCUCGAGAAAGAGGAAUAAACCUGGAAGAAUCACACAGAUGUCAAACUAACAAAGCUGUUACUCAAAACUGGUGUGAAGACAGACAUGCAGACCAAUGGUAGGAGAACAGUCCAAUAAGAAACCCAUUGAAACAUAGUCACCGAAUCUUUGACAACAGUGCAGAGAAUACACAAUGAGGAAAGUUUCUUCAAUAAAUCGUGCUGGAAAAAUUGGACAUCAAUAUACAAAAGAGUGAAUCGAACCCCUCAUACCAUAUGAAAUAUUAAAAUGGAUUAUGGACUUCAAUAUUGGAGACUUUAAAAGAGAAAUGGCUCCUUUACAUCAGUCUUGGCAGUGAUUUUAAUAUUGCCAACAAAAGCAAAAAUAAGUGGUACUGCAAAAAACUUCAAAGGAAUCAACCAACAGAAUGUAGAAAAUAAUUUUUAAAAUACAGAAGUAACUAAAUAGAUAAAAAGGUAGAAAGGCAAAAUGCCUAAACACUUUCCCAAAGAAGACAUACAAAUGACUGACAGAUGUGUGGAGAGGUGCUCAGUGGCACUAAUCAGGGAAGCACAAAUCAAAACCACCAUGAACUAUCACUUCAUGCUUGAGGAUGGCUACUAUCAAAAAGACGAGAGGUAACAAUUGUUGGCAAAUGUAGAAAUGGAAACCCUCAGUACACUGUUGGUGGGAGUGUGAAGUGGUAUGAUCCAGGAAUUCCACUUGUGGGUAUCCAAAGGAAAUGAAAUCGGUAUGCCAAAGAGAGCUGCACUUUCAUGUUUGCUGCACCAUUAUUCACAAUAGCCAAGAUAUGGAAACCAUCCAAACACCUGUCAGUGGAUAAAUGGAAGGAAAAAAUGUGGUAUAGAUAAUCAUGGAAUAUCAUCCCAUUCCACAAAGGAGGAAGAAAUCCCACCAUUUGUGACAACAUGGAUGAACUUGAAGGACAUUAUGCUCAGUUAAUUAGAUCACACAGCAUUCAUUCGUCUGGCUCAUUUAUGUGUGGAAUCUACAAAAGUCAAACUCACAGAAUCAGAGUAAAAUGGUCAUUGCCACAGGGGUGGGGGGAAAUGGGAAGAUGCUGAUCUAAGUAUACAACCUUGAAGCUGUGAGAUGAACAAGUUCUACAGACGGAAUGUGCAGCAUAGGUGGUGGUGGAGGUGUUAAAUAUGAUGGUCGUUGCUCAGUGUAGAUGUCAAAUCCCAAGAGGUAAGGAGGAAGUAAGGCAAGCAAAGGAAGAGAAGAAUCUCAAGGUUGAGGUGAUAGACUCCUUGCCCAUAUUGGGGGCCAGAUGGGCAGCUAAUAAAGUGUGAUCUAGUUGAGGUCAUGGACUCUUCAUCUUAUCUACAGUGAUCUACAAACCUAAUAACAUAUGUGCCCUGAAAAAUGCAGACAUUAUUUUAUCUAGGACUGCGUACCCAUCUUUUUAUUAUGUGAUUUAAUAUAGAGUAAUAGUGAAAUGUUAUUUAUCUUUGUCUAUUUACUUGAAGCUGUUUUUUUUCCUGAUACUUAGAAUUCCCAAAUCCCCACCCACUGAGUGAUCUCUCUUCCUUGGGGCACUCAGAAGUUGAAGAAGAUGUAUCUCAGGUACCAUUCAGUUUUUCAUUUGCUUUUCUAGAAUUAAAAAAUAUAUCUGCAUAACAUACUGGCUUAUUAUUUUUUAAGGGAUAGUGUGGCACUAUUUCUUUGCAAUUUUACAUGUAAUUAUAACUCAUGUAAGUAUAUAUGCACACAAGCAUAUUUAUCAUUUGUGUUUUAGACUGUGAACCAAGAGUCGUUAAUGG
Molecule: long non-coding RNA, 13178 nt
Filed under: Marmota monax (woodchuck)
Lineage: Eukaryota; Metazoa; Chordata; Mammalia; Rodentia; Sciuridae
Source: RNAcentral